Molecule: long non-coding RNA, 579 nt
Organism: Salvelinus sp. IW2-2015
Lineage: Eukaryota; Metazoa; Chordata; Actinopteri; Salmoniformes; Salmonidae
Source: RefSeq, a predicted model, not a curated record
UGUCUCUGUCUGUCUCUGUCUAUCUCUCUCUGUCUCUGUCUCUCUCUCUCCCAGAGAACAUUGGCAGCAGAUAAGAAUGAAAUCCUGUUUUCUGAGUUUGAUAUCAAUUACAACAAGGAGCCUCUGGUCCACAGGAAAGGAACAGCCCUAAUCUGAGAAGCUGGAAGAAACAGUGACCACGAGUGUGAAGCUCCCCAACGAGGAGGAGGAGGAGCCAGUGGCACGAACCAGGAGGCGUGUCAGUGCCCACCGCUGUGACGUCAUAGGGGACGAGUUCUGGGAGGAACACCCCAACAUUCUAGAAGACGACUGCUGAAAACGUUUCCUAGAGGAGCAGAAACCUGCACAGUGGUUAACGUUGAACAUGGACAGAGUCUAGGGGGAGUUUGUACUUCUAUAUGCUCCUGCUGUGGGAUGGAGAGGGUUGGAAGCUGUCAGGGACUGUAUGGAUACUCUUAAUCACUAACUGUCAGCGGGGGCAUAACUCAAACACCAUCAUGCUCUUUGCUCAUGUACUGUAUACAAAUAUUUUAAAUACGGCCUGUCUUAUGUCUGGAAACAUUAAACCAAGAGAAUGUG